This is a long non-coding RNA of Dermacentor albipictus, 2665 nucleotides long. RefSeq lists it as uncharacterized. NCBI's taxonomy places the organism in Eukaryota, Metazoa, Arthropoda, Arachnida, Ixodida, Ixodidae. The record is from RefSeq and is a predicted model, not a curated record.
ACUACGCCUAACCAAGCCGUCAUCAGCUGCUAUCGUUGUGAGGUGUAGUCAUAUAAUCAGAACAGCAGUUCUUCAGACGUCCACAAUGCAGUCGUCGACAGCGACUUUGUCUUUCGACGAUUGCUCGACGUCAUCGAUGGAAAUGAUUACUGCUUCAGAAGGGGUUACAGCGACGGCAUCAACAGCAAUCUCGGCCCCACAAGAAGGUGCCAGCGCCAGAGUGGGUUCUUCAUGUGGGCAGCCGGCGUCAACGUACAUCACGGCAUUGAAUGGCGAGGGGAGCCGCCUAUAUUUAAAGAUCGUCCAGGUCCCGUGCUGUCGACGUUUAAGCACAGAAAAGAUACGAGCCGUACCGGUACCACCACCCGUUUUAAGAGAUCAAGGAAGAGGAAGCCUGCAUGCAGUCACGUUACCAGCUGAUUAGAGCUCUUUCGAAUAUCCUUAUUCGACACCACGUGCAAGUUUUCAUUCGAAGAAACGAAAGCUCGCCGGUUAAUCUAAGCGACAAAAAGUAGCGGUUGGGUAGAAAUUAGACAUUAGACAUUAUUUAUUUCAUCAUAAAUUUGUACAUCAACAUCAGCAAACAACUGUCAAUUGAUUGAUGUCAACUGUCAAACCAUUGAUGUUACGUGUAAUGUUUGGCCAGAGACAUUCUCAAAUAAACAACGCAAAACAACUGCGUUGUUACGAGCUCCACUCUAGCACAUCGAAAUUGAUGGGACUUUCACUCGUGGCACGCGAUCGCAACUGCUACAAAAAAAUUUACACGUGAUGGAACGUGUUGCCUUCUCUUGAAGCGUCGCUUCCACUUUACCGAUGUACAAGCGGGGCCAAAAUAAUGCGGGUUCUGCGAGCGCGUGCCAAUGACGUGUGGGCGCCAGUGACCGGUGACAACGCAUUGCACACUGUGCCACCCGGAAAGAAAGCACCUUCCUGCCGCGAUAAUAUGCUAUCUCCACGAUUCCGACAGCACGCUGGAGAAGGCUGGGUGUAUGGAAGAGAGCGUGAAAACAAAACGCACAUGCGCAAUGGCAUGUCCGGACAAAAAAGUGCUCGCUUCGCUAAAGGGCGCAGGAGUGCAGUUCGGGACGCGCUCACAGAUUCCAUGUUAUUUCGCACGCGAUGGUAUGUUCGUGAACUUGAGCAGCAGUGAGAAAGUCGCGGCGAACGUAGAGUGGAAAGUGGAGAAUUUCUCGAGUUCCAGUUUUAACGUGCAACGCCACCCAGCCGCUCCGUCGCAAGGGUUAGAAUAGCAAACCCGUGAGCUAUAGUCGACGACGUGUUUAAGAGAAUAAAAAAAACUGAAGCUUUCGCGAAUAACAUCGCAGGCUGUUCCGUGCGAGUGUUACGAUAACCACUUGUCACAGCCAAGAGACCCAGGUGGAGCCACUGCGCCACCUUGAAAGAAUACACAGGCACAUGAUGAACGAGAACUUUAUUUUGUAGCAUAGAGAAAACGAAUUAUAGAAGAAUCCACUUAGACGCCGAGGCAUGCACUACGAACGAAUUUCGUAGCAGAUGCAUGCAGUAUUUGCGCGGUUAAAGCAUUAAGAAAUUGGUUGAUCCCUACGCUAGGUUUCAGCUAUUUUUUCCGAGAAAGCAGUGAGCCUGCACGGGAAAGGCAAACCACUUUCGAGGUCAUGCAGCAGGUAACGCCAUUUUUUUUGACCUUGUUACGCAUUUCAAAGAUAACGAAAUGCUGGGAUCAUAAACAGGGCAAAUGAAUGACUCGGUUAAGUGAGCUCCACAUUCGCGUAUAUGCUGCCACCAUCCACAAAUCCAUUGAAUUCAACAUCUUCCCAGGAAACUGUUUCGGUAGUGUCCCCUUCAUUCCAAGUGCCAGGCGCCGGCUUCUUUACCAUCUUGUUAUGAGGCAGACACACUGGUAGCGGGAUGUCCCUCUCGGAAUCAGUGGGAUGGGUGAGGAAUACUGUUACUUCUCUGUCGAACGGCCAAGACAAGCGGCCGUCCCAUUUGCCCUCGCCGAGCGAAAACUUAAAGCACACAGUAGAUUCCCCGUGCUCAUUCUUAUGGAGAACGCAUUCGAGCCGGAAGAAGUAACCACCCAGCACGGAUGGAGGAUGCGUUAUGCUGUCAGUUUUGUCGUUGUCCAACGAUUCCAGUUUUCCUUGGACGUCGAAGGAGCACAGAGUGACGUGAACGCUUGGCCUGGAAGCGGCACGGUAAGGUGUCGCAGAGAACAGUGACCGUUCCGCGGCUGAGGGCAACAUUCGCUUUUGGCUGCUGCCCACCGGAUCUUCUUCGCCUUUUGUGCAGUCGCGUUCAAGAACGGUGAUCUUUUUCACUAGCGAGUUGAUGGACUUGGUCACAUAGUCCUUGUCAAGGACGUCGCCGGGCGCCCGCUGUAUCAAUGUCUCGAGACCCUUUCUGAUAUCUCGUACUACUCGAAUGACGCCACUGCGUGCCUCGGCUGUACUCGCCUCCUGUCCUGGAGCAGCGGCUCCCGAGCAGAAUCGUCUGUGGUCAAUGGCGGCGCUGCGAGCGACGCACUGGCUGCACUUCGGACACUCUACCUUUUCGCUGCUGCAAUUGACGAGGUGCUCCAUAAGCGUGGACAGAGUACCGGGGAAGUCGCAAUCGUCACUGUUGGGGCAGAGAACGCUGUACUCAUCCAAGUCGGCCAACUUGAAGUCCUGCGGCACGA